GUCCUAGAGAAGAUAUGAACAUUAACUGUAGAACAAUCCUUCUGAAGUGCUUCUUUUGAUGUUCACAUGUAACCCAGUGGUGGGAUAGUACAAUUAUUGUAAGAAUGUUCUAGAGUAACUUACCAUAGUUAAAUUCAGUCUUUUCUUGUUGCUUUAAUUAAAUUAGACUUUGAAAGUCAAUCACCAUUCUUUUUUUCUUUUUCUUCCCCACCCCCCACCCUAGCACAGGGAUCGAACUCAGGACCUUGCACUCGCAAGACAGGCACAGUGCCACUGAGCUACAUUCCGGCCUGUCAGUCAAUUACACUUCAUAGCUAAGCCAAAGACCUCAGCAGUGCACCGACCAAACCCAGACAUCCACACGAUGCUGCAGUGUUACAAAGCUCAUUCUCCAUCAAGAAACACGUUUUGGUGGCUUGGCUGCAGAAAGAGUUAAAGCACCAACACACACUUGUGCUUCUGGAUCUGAUCUUUAAAGCUUUGCAUCCUAAAACCCUCGUCUGGGGCCUGAUAUGAAAAUACAUCUGUCGCCUACCAAGAAAAGAUAUCUGGCUCUCUCAGCCAAAUCUAAAUAAAAUCUUUGCACAUGCAAGAGAACUGCACUAUUUUAAAGAAACCAUCUUAGCCUGAAUAUGUUUAGAAAAACCACACACACACAAAAC
RNAcentral lists this long non-coding RNA (662 nucleotides) under Fukomys damarensis (Damara mole-rat). Its description in RNAcentral is "lncRNA (ENSFDAG00000029824.1)". Lineage: Eukaryota; Metazoa; Chordata; Mammalia; Rodentia; Bathyergidae. The record is from RNAcentral.